AUACGGAGGGUGCAAGCGUUAAUCGGAAUUACUGGGCGUAAAGAGUGCGUAGGCGGUUAUUUAAGUCAGAUGUGAAAGCCCCGGGCUUAACCUGGGAACGGCAUUUGAUACUGGGUAACUCGAGUUUGGGAGAGGCAAGUGGAAUUUCAGGUGUAGCGGUGAAAUGCGUAGAGAUCUGAAGGAACACCAGUGGCGAAGGCGACUUGCUGGCCUAAAACUGACGCUGAGGCACGAAAGCAUGGGUAGCAAACAGGAUUAGAUACCCUGGUAGUCCAUGCCGUAAACGAUGUCAACUAACCGUUGGGUUUCUUUGAAACUUAGUGGUGGAGCUAACGUAUUAAGUUGACCGCCUGGGGAGUACGGUCGCAAGACUAAA
RNAcentral lists this ribosomal RNA (376 nucleotides) under uncultured bacterium. Its description in RNAcentral is "bacterial SSU rRNA". It matches the Rfam family "Bacterial small subunit ribosomal RNA", at positions 523 to 898 of the family's 1533-position model. The record is from RNAcentral.